Non-coding RNA from Aspergillus lentulus, 72 nucleotides. The record is from the annotation of a RefSeq genome assembly. NCBI's taxonomy places the organism in Eukaryota, Fungi, Ascomycota, Eurotiomycetes, Eurotiales, Aspergillaceae.
GGUUCCAUGGUCUAGUGGUUAUGACUCCGGAUUUUGAUUCCGGCAACUCGGGUUCAAUUCCCGAUGGGACCU